RNAcentral lists this long non-coding RNA (202 nucleotides) under Lathyrus oleraceus (garden pea). RNAcentral describes it as "Pisum sativum (pea) long non-coding RNA (PSAT_LNC000074)". The record is from RNAcentral. Lineage: Eukaryota; Viridiplantae; Streptophyta; Magnoliopsida; Fabales; Fabaceae.
AAAAAGAAAAAUAAAAAGACGAGAUGACCAUCUCUUUUGAAAACUGAGAGAACCAUUACUUUGUUUGGUUAUUCAUGGAAUCUCUCUCUCUCUCUAUCUUCUUUUCACCACCCUCCACCUUACACAACCUUGUAACUCCUUCUUCUUCAAACCUCCAACUGAAAAUAAACUCAGACUCCCGCUCCACAUCCUCCAUUACAAC